This 79-nucleotide transfer RNA is filed under the name Betaproteobacteria bacterium. Its description in RNAcentral is "tRNA-Leu". It matches the Rfam family "tRNA". From Rfam's summary of the family: Transfer RNA (tRNA) molecules are approximately 80 nucleotides in length. Their secondary structure includes four short double-helical elements and three loops (D, anti-codon, and T loops). Lineage: Bacteria; Pseudomonadati; Pseudomonadota; Betaproteobacteria. The record is from RNAcentral.
GCCGCACUGACGCAAAUUUGGCAGACGUGUCGGUUUCAGAAACCGAAUGAUCCGAGUUCGAAUCUCGGGUGCGGCACCA